UGGGGAAUAUUGCACAAUGGAGGGAACUCUGAUGCAGCGACGCCGCGUGAACGAAGAAGGCUUUCGAGUCGUAAAGUUCUUUUUUAUGGGAAGAUAAUGACGGUACCAUAAGAAAAAGCCCCGGCUAACUACGUGCCAGCCGCCGCGGUAAUACGUAGGGGGCUAGCGAUGUCCGGAAUCACUGGGCGUAAAGGGUUCGCAGGCGGAAAUGCAAGUCAGGUGUAAAAGGCAGUAGCUUAACUACUGUAAGCAUUUGAAACUGCAUAUCUUGAGAAGUGUAGAGGUAAGUGGAAUUUUUAGUGUAGCGGUGAAAUGCGUAGAUAUUAUAAAGAAUACCGAUGGCGAAGGCGACUUACUAGGCUCAUUCUGACGCUGAGGAACGAAAGCGUGGGUAGCAAACAGG
Molecule: ribosomal RNA, 403 nt
Filed under: Fusobacteriota bacterium
Lineage: Bacteria; Fusobacteriati; Fusobacteriota
Description: Fusobacteria bacterium partial 16S ribosomal RNA
Rfam family: Bacterial small subunit ribosomal RNA
Source: RNAcentral